This 632-nucleotide long non-coding RNA is filed under the name Brassica rapa (field mustard). Its description in RNAcentral is "long non-coding RNA (BRAP_LNC003689)". The record is from RNAcentral. Lineage: Eukaryota; Viridiplantae; Streptophyta; Magnoliopsida; Brassicales; Brassicaceae.
UAGACAUGUCAUAGCCGCAUAGGCAAGGGUAGGUUUAAUAGGAUCAACUCAAAAUAUUUUGGUAGUUUUGAUUUUCACGCCAAAUCAAACCAAAUAUAUACAUUCCUUUUAAAUUAUACCAUAAUAAAAGCAGAAUAUACUUUAUAUAGAUAAGAAAUACGUGUUUGUCAUGUUUAAAUAAAAAGAAAUGAUAAUUGUGUUAAUUAAUAGAUAUCCUUUUUGAUAUGGUGAGUGCGUAGAAAUAAGAAAAGAACUUUGGAUGUUGUUUGUUUUUGAAUAAAGAAUAUUUAGUUAUGAUUUUCUGUAAUUAAUAUUCAUUGCGUGGAAGUAGGAAUCAUUAUUUGAAUGAUAUUUAGUGUUGGAAGGAAAUUGCAUAUUUAGUUUGAUUUUCUAUACUAAAAAAAUCAAAUGGUAUCCUUAAUAUGCUAACAAACAUAAUAAAGAAUUUUAACUUGGGAGGUUUUGAAAUAAAUUAAACUUGGGAGGUUUCCUCCCUUGUAUUCACCAAAAAAAAAAACAAAAUAAAGAAUUUUAAAGAGAUUAUAAAUUCGGUAAACAAAAAAAAAUCGACAACCCAUAGCUUCAUUAGAUCAAUAUAUACAAUGUUGGUAUGCACAAUCAAAAGUCAAAAC